RNAcentral lists this ribosomal RNA (651 nucleotides) under Enterobacter cloacae. RNAcentral describes it as "partial 23S ribosomal RNA". It matches the Rfam family "Bacterial large subunit ribosomal RNA", at positions 1241 to 1875 of the family's 2925-position model. The record is from RNAcentral. RNAcentral also lists the same sequence under 1 other name. Lineage: Bacteria; Pseudomonadati; Pseudomonadota; Gammaproteobacteria; Enterobacterales; Enterobacteriaceae.
CUGUAAGCCGUUGAAGGUGGCCUGUGAGGGUUGCUGGAGGUAUCAGAAGUGCGAAUGCUGACAUAAGUAACGAUAAAGCGGGUGAAAAGCCCGCUCGCCGGAAGACCAAGGGUUCCUGUCCAACGUUAAUCGGGGCAGGGUGAGUCGACCCCUAAGGCGAGGCCGAAAGGCGUAGUCGAUGGGAAACAGGUUAAUAUUCCUGUACUUGGUGUUACUGCGAAGGGGGGACGGAGAAGGCUAUGUUAGCCGGGCGACGGUUGUCCCGGUUUAAGCAUGUAGGCGGAGGUUCCAGGUAAAUCCGGUACCUUUUAACGCUGAGGUGUGAUGACGAGGCACUACGGUGCUGAAGUAACAAAUGCCCUGCUUCCAGGAAAAGCCUCUAAGCAUCAGGUAACACGAAAUCGUACCCCAAACCGACACAGGUGGUCAGGUAGAGAAUACCAAGGCGCUUGAGAGAACUCGGGUGAAGGAACUAGGCAAAAUGGUGCCGUAACUUCGGGAGAAGGCACGCUGAUAUGUAGGUGAAGCCCCUGCGGGUGGAGCUGAAAUCAGUCGAAGAUACCAGCUGGCUGCAACUGUUUAUUAAAAACACAGCACUGUGCAAACACGAAAGUGGACGUAUACGGUGUGACGCCUGCCCGGUGCCGGAAG